RNAcentral lists this long non-coding RNA (351 nucleotides) under Homo sapiens (human). Its description in RNAcentral is "HSALNT0102153". Lineage: Eukaryota; Metazoa; Chordata; Mammalia; Primates; Hominidae. The record is from RNAcentral.
UUUCUUUUUGUUUUGAGGCUUUCUCUUUACUUCGUCCUUUAUUGUCUUCUGUAGUUUUAUUUAUUGUUUCUGAGAUUUUCCUUUCUUUCUUUUUUUUUAUUUAUUAUUAUUAUUUUUUGCAUGGGGGAACAGGGAGAAAAUCAGGGAAAUCUGGAAAGGCAAGCAGGUCUUUGUGUCUUUUAAAAGGUGAGCAGAAGAUAGCAUGUCCUUCCUGCUGCAGGGCAGAGACUGAAGAGACACUGUUUAUGAGGGUUUUUGACAUUAAGUCAAAAAUGUUCAAAAAUGUUAUUGAAGUUAAACACAGGCCCAGAAAGUGGUGUUGUUGUUUUUUAUCAGAGAUAAAUUACGAGC